UUUAUUGAGAGUUUGAUCCUAGCUCAGGAUGAACGCUGGCGGCGUGUCUAAGGCAUGCAAGUCGAGGGCCCCGGUUUUACCGGGGACCGGCAAACGGGAGAGUAACACAUUGGUAACCCACCCUAAAGACAGGGACAACCCAGAGAAAUUUGGGCUAAUACCUGAUGGCCCCAGCACACAAAUUGCGUGCUGGGUAAACGGUUAAGAGCAAUCUUUUCCGCUUUGGGAGGGGCCUAUGGGCUAUCAGCUUGUUGGUGGGGUAAAAGCUUACCAAGGCUAUGACGGCUAGCGGGUUUAAGAGGAUGACCCGUCUCACGGGGACUGAGAUACUGCCCUGACUCCUACGGGAGGCUGCAGUCAAGAAUCUUCCACAAUGGCCGAAAGGCUGAUGGAGCGACGCCGCGUGCAGGAAGAAGCCCUUCGGGGUUUAAACUGCUUUUCUAAGGGACGAAUAUUUGACGGUACCUUAGGAAUAAGCCACUGCUAACUCUGUGCCAGCAGCAGCGGUAAUACAGAGGUGGCAAGCGUUAUCCGGAUUUAUUGGGCGUAAAGCGUCCGCAGGUGGUUUUAAAAGUCCGAGGUUAAAUCCCAAGGCUCAACCUUGGGACCGCCUUUGAUACUAUAAAACUAGAGGCUGGGAGAGGCAAGCGGAAUGGCCGGUGUAGUAGUAAAAUGCGUUAAUAUCGGCUAGAACACCAAAGGCGAAGGCGGCUUGCUAGAACAGUUCUGACACUCAUGGACGAAAGCGUGGGUAGCGAAUGGGAUUAGAUACCCCAGUAGUCCACGCUGUAAACGAUGGAUACUAACCAUUGGAAGUAUCGACCCUUCCAGUGUUGUUUUAAAUAAGCUAACGCGUUAAGUAUCCCGCCUGGGGAGUACGGCCGCAAGGCUAAAACUCAAAGGAAUAGACGGGGACCCGCACAAGCGGUGGAGCAUGUGGUUUAAUUCGACGAUAAGCGUGGAACCUUACCAAGGCUUGAAAUGAUAGGAGUACUCUGGUCGAAAUACCGGAGGACCG
RNAcentral lists this ribosomal RNA (1018 nucleotides) under Patescibacteria group bacterium. RNAcentral describes it as "bacterial SSU rRNA". It matches the Rfam family "Bacterial small subunit ribosomal RNA", at positions 1 to 1019 of the family's 1533-position model. The record is from RNAcentral.